RNAcentral lists this ribosomal RNA (262 nucleotides) under uncultured prokaryote. Its description in RNAcentral is "partial 16S ribosomal RNA". It matches the Rfam family "Bacterial small subunit ribosomal RNA", at positions 524 to 785 of the family's 1533-position model. The record is from RNAcentral.
UACGUAGGUGGCGAGCGUUAUCCGGAAUUAUUGGGCGUAAAGAGCGCGCAGGUGGUUGAUUAAGUCUGAUGUGAAAGCCCACGGCUUAACCGUGGAGGGUCAUUGGAAACUGGUCGACUUGAGUGCUGAAGAGGGAAGUGGAAUUCCAUGUGUAGCGGUGAAAUGCGUAGAGAUAUGGAGGAACACCAGUGGCGAAGGCGGCUUCCUGGUCUGUAACUGACACUGAGGCGCGAAAGCGUGGGGAGCAAACAGGAUUAGAUAU